AUUGAACGCUGGCGGCAGGCCUAACACAUGCAAGUCGAACGGUAACAGGAAGAAGCUUGCUUCUUUGCUGACGAGUGGAGGACGGGUGAGUAAUGUCUGGGAAACUGCCUGAUGGAGGGGGAUAACUACUGGAAACGGUAGCUAAUACCGCAUAACGUCGCAAGACAAAAGAGGGGGACCUUCGGGCCUCUUGCCAUCGGAUGUGCCCAGAUGGGAUUAGCUAGUAGGUGGGGUAACGGCUCACCUAGGCGACGAUCCCUAGCUGGUCUGAGAGGAUGACCAGCCACACUGGAACUGAGACACGGUCCAGACUCCUACGGGAGGCAGCAGUGGGGAAUAUUGCACAAUGGGCGCAAGCCUGAUGCAGCCAUGCCGCGUGUAUGAAGAAGGCCUUCGGGUUGUAAAGUACUUUCAGCGGGGAGGAAGGGAGUAAAGUUAAUACCUUUGCUCAUUGACGUUACCCGCAGAAGAAGCACCGGCUAACUCCGUG
Molecule: ribosomal RNA, 490 nt
Filed under: uncultured bacterium
Lineage: Bacteria
Description: partial 16S ribosomal RNA
Rfam family: Bacterial small subunit ribosomal RNA
Source: RNAcentral